GUGGGGAAUAUUGGACAAUGGGCGAAGGCCUGAUCCAGCCAUGCCGCGUGUGUGAAGAAGGUCUUCGGAUUGUAAAGCACUUUAAGUUGGGAGGAAGGGCAUUAACCUAAUACGUUAGUGUUUUGACGUUACCGACAGAAUAAGCACCGGCUAACUUCGUGCCAGCAGCCGCGGUAAUACGAAGGGUGCAAGCGUUAAUCGGAAUUACUGGGCGUAAAGCGCGCGUAGGUGGUUCAGUAAGUUGGAAGUGAAAUCCCCGGGCUCAACCUGGGAACUGCUUUCAAAACUGCUGAGCUAGAGUACGGUAGAGGGUGGUGGAAUUUCCUGUGUAGCGGUGAAAUGCGUAGAUAUAGGAAGGAACACCAGUGGCGAAGGCGACCACCUGGACUGAUACUGACACUGAGGUGCGAAAGCGUGGGGAGCAAACAGGAUUAGAUACCCCAGUAGUCC
RNAcentral lists this ribosomal RNA (450 nucleotides) under uncultured bacterium. RNAcentral's name for it is "partial 16S ribosomal RNA". It matches the Rfam family "Bacterial small subunit ribosomal RNA", at positions 354 to 796 of the family's 1533-position model. The record is from RNAcentral.